Molecule: ribosomal RNA, 253 nt
Filed under: uncultured bacterium
Lineage: Bacteria
Description: partial 16S ribosomal RNA
Rfam family: Bacterial small subunit ribosomal RNA
Source: RNAcentral
UACGAAGGGUGCAAGCGUUACUCGGAAUUACUGGGCGUAAAGCGUGCGUAGGCGGUUUCUUAAGUCUGUCGUGAAAGCCCUGGGCUCAACCUGGGAAUGGCGAUGGAUACUGGGAGGCUAGAGUGUGAUAGAGGAUGGUGGAAUUCCCGGUGUAGCGGUGAAAUGCGUAGAGAUCGGGAGGAACACCAGUGGCGAAGGCGGCCAUCUGGAUCAACACUGACGCUGAGGCACGAAAGCGUGGGGAGCAAACAGG